RNAcentral lists this long non-coding RNA (311 nucleotides) under Crocodylus porosus (Australian saltwater crocodile). Its description in RNAcentral is "lncRNA (ENSCPRG00005006439.1)". The record is from RNAcentral. Lineage: Eukaryota; Metazoa; Chordata; Crocodylia; Crocodylidae.
AAAGGUUUUGAUGCUAUCAGGAACUUUUGAACUGCUGCUGACCAAUAAAACUGCUGAAUUUAAUUAAUCUCCCUCCUCAUAUUUGGGACUCUGUAGCCACUUAUUUCUCUUACAGGAGCUUGUGUGUUCAACACAGUACUGAAACCAAUGUCAGCUGUCAGUGGGCUGUCUACAUUAGAGCAUCAACAUAGCUAAAGAAGAGUCAAAAGAACUCAUCUCAGCAAAGGGGCACUUACCAGUUACAUUUAAUUUGCCUUUCAUUCAUUGGCUCUGAGACCAACAUCACUGUGAGCAUGGCACCUAGCUGAAUG